Non-coding RNA from Oryza sativa Japonica Group (Japanese rice), 176 nucleotides. Lineage: Eukaryota; Viridiplantae; Streptophyta; Magnoliopsida; Poales; Poaceae. The record is from RefSeq and is a predicted model, not a curated record.
GGGCGCGUUCGCCAGCUCUUCCUCUCACGGAGCGUCGAUCCCUCGCCCACACGGAUUUGCAGCCGGGAUCUUCGGUACUUGGGCCUCUUCGGGGCAGGAGAUUCUUCCAAUGCGCGAACUUUGAUCAGACAUAUCGUCCAAUGUGCAACUUCAUCGAGUGGGUAGACAUGGAGAAC